Molecule: non-coding RNA, 27 nt
Filed under: Homo sapiens (human)
Lineage: Eukaryota; Metazoa; Chordata; Mammalia; Primates; Hominidae
Source: RNAcentral
UCAUUGAACAUGUGGUUUCUGAGUAGC